This 397-nucleotide long non-coding RNA is filed under the name Lepisosteus oculatus (spotted gar). RNAcentral's name for it is "lncRNA (ENSLOCG00000022047.1)". The record is from RNAcentral. Lineage: Eukaryota; Metazoa; Chordata; Actinopteri; Semionotiformes; Lepisosteidae.
GGGGCGCUCCUCUGAGGGCCCUGUCCGGAGGAGAGAGCAAAGGCGAGUGCAGAUGGCUUGCAAACUGCUGAGCGACCCUUCCGUGCUGAUCCAGGAUGAACCAAUGACUGGUCUAGACUCCGGCACCUCAUGGUGUCUCCUCUCCACCUUGAGGUGCUUGGCCAAGAAACAGGAAGACCAUCUUGUGCUCUGUAAAUCAGACAUUCUCGGCUCCUUUGACAAACUGCUCAUUUUGGCACAUGGGCAGGUAUCGAAGGUCACAGACUUCCUUGGAGACCUGGGAAUGCAGUGUCCUCCAGAGAGUAACCCAGCAGACUUCAUCUAUCUUGCCUCAAGAUACCCUGUGAAUCUUGACAGGAAAAAUGGGAUUUACUCGGACUACAAGGCAGGUGAGUGA